RNAcentral lists this ribosomal RNA (426 nucleotides) under uncultured bacterium. RNAcentral describes it as "partial 16S ribosomal RNA". It matches the Rfam family "Bacterial small subunit ribosomal RNA", at positions 354 to 796 of the family's 1533-position model. The record is from RNAcentral.
GUGAGGAAUUUUCCGCAAUGGGCGAAAGCCUGACGGAGCAAUGCCGCGUGAAGGAUGAAGGCCUAUGGGUUGUAAACUUCUUUUCUCAGAAAAGAAUUAUGACGGUAUCUGAGGAAUAAGCAUCGGCUAACUCUGUGCCAGCAGCCGCGGUAAGACAGAGGAUGCAAGCGUUAUCCGGAAUGAUUGGGCGUAAAGCGUCUGUAGGUUGUUUAAAAAGUAUUCUGUCAAAGAUUAGGGCUUAACCCUAGAUAGGCAGAAUAAACUUUUAAGCUAGAGUUUGGUAGAGGCAGAGGGAAUUCCCGGUGGAGCGGUGAAAUGGGUAGAUAUCGGGAGGAACACCAAAGGCGAAGGCACUCUGCUGGGCCAAUACUAACACUGAGAGACGAAAGCGAGGGGAGCAAAUGGGAUUAGAUACCCGUGUAGUCC